This 226-nucleotide ribosomal RNA is filed under the name Escherichia coli. Its description in RNAcentral is "partial 16S ribosomal RNA". It matches the Rfam family "Bacterial small subunit ribosomal RNA", at positions 1320 to 1533 of the family's 1533-position model. Lineage: Bacteria; Pseudomonadati; Pseudomonadota; Gammaproteobacteria; Enterobacterales; Enterobacteriaceae. The record is from RNAcentral.
AUGAAGUCGGAAUCGCUAGUAAUCGUGGAUCAGAAUGCCACGGUGAAUACGUUCCCGGGCCUUGUACACACCGCCCGUCACACCAUGGGAGUGGGUUGCAAAAGAAGUAGGUAGCUUAACCUUCGGGGGGGCGCUUACCACUUUGUGAUUCAUGACUGGGGUGAAGUCGUAACAAGGUAACCGUAGGGGAACCUGCGGUUGGAUCACCUCCUUACCUUAAAGAAGC